Molecule: long non-coding RNA, 953 nt
Organism: Drosophila gunungcola (fruit fly)
Lineage: Eukaryota; Metazoa; Arthropoda; Insecta; Diptera; Drosophilidae
Exons: 3
Source: RefSeq, a predicted model, not a curated record
UGUUUUCCAAAUAGUGAAUUGAAUAUUUUCUUUCUUGGAUUUCUACACUAAACCAAAUAAGUUAUUAGAAAGUAACUCCUAAUAAUAUUGAAAUACGCUGCUUUUCGAAAACAGAUUUUUGAAAUUUUCGACUUGUCAAUUGAAAAUAAUCCACGUAUUUCUAUACCGAAACUGAAUGAAUAGCCCUACUUUGGCUGGAGUUUCACGACAGGUAAACACGAAAUUGCCUUGUUGUGUUGUCCUUGUUUCCAAUGUCAAUUGUCCGGCUAAUUGAAAGCUAAUCACACUCCGAUGUGACGCCGACGACGACGCCGACGCCUAAUGAUGGUUCAACUUGGGGCCCCAAAGUGGGCCAGGCUCCAGCAGGACAUCGGGCAGUGCAUUAGAAUAAUUGCCAGAGAUUGCUCUGUUCCACUGCAAUUACGUGGCGAAAGUCUUGGGGCCGGGCAACAGGGAAACACCUGUCCGUGUUUCCACAGGUGAAACGCCGCAUCGCCAGCCCACUUUUCCACCUUCUCCGCCCUUCAUUUUCCGCAUUUCCCAUCGACCAGCAACCAGAGACCCAUGUAGUUGGCUCUCAGUUGUCGCCGGAACAUGAAGCAAUUGGUGGAUCUGGUGAGGACCUGCUUGGUCUACGGAUUCGUGAUGGUGUUCAGCCUGCUCACCCGGUUCCUGAAGCGUUGCCUGGACCUCAGUCACUCGCUGGCCGUGUGAGGUGUGAGCAGAAGGAGGUGGAUUCACUUAUCUGGCCCAAUCUUUAUUCAGCCAGGUAGGAGUGUGAGUUCCGAGCUCUGAGUUCUGAGUUCUGAGUGUGGAACCCGCCUAUAAGAGCCCUACAAGGAUCCUUAGUAUUUGGAAAAUUGUAUACCUUUCGUCGAUCACAAACAUUUAUUAACUAAUUAAAGCACCAACUCAUUGUUUUACUUGUUUCAAAUAUUUAAGCAAAUUAAUAU